GAUGAACGCUAGCGGCAGGCUUAACACAUGCAAGUCGAGGGGUAUUGGUUUUCGGACCAAGAGACCGGCGCACGGGUGCGUAACGCGUAUGCAAUCUACCUUUUGCAGAGGGAUAGCCCCAGAGAAACUUGGAUUAAUACCUCAUAGUAUAGUACUUUGGCAUCAAGGAACUAUUAAAGUCACAACGGCAAAGAUGAGCAUGCGUCCCAUUAGCUAGUUGGUAAGGUAACGGCUUACCAAGGCUACGAUGGGUAGGGGUCCUGAGAGGGAGAUCCCCCACACUGGUACUGAGACACGGACCAGACUCCUACGGGAGGCAGCAGUGAGGAAUAUUGGACAAUGGGCGCAAGCCUGAUCCAGCCAUGCCGCGUGCAGGAUGACGGUCCUAUGGAUUGUAAACUGCUUUUAUACAGGAAGAAACACUACUUCGUGAAGUAGCUUGACGGUACUGUAAGAAUAAGGAUCGGCUAACUCCGUGCCAGCAGCCGCGG
This 491-nucleotide ribosomal RNA is filed under the name uncultured bacterium. Its description in RNAcentral is "bacterial SSU rRNA". It matches the Rfam family "Bacterial small subunit ribosomal RNA", at positions 28 to 520 of the family's 1533-position model. The record is from RNAcentral.